GAGGUUAACCAUAAAAUAUAAACUAAGUGAGAAUCCACUUUUAUUUCAAAUGUCUUGUCGAAGCAAAGCCCAUAUUUAAUACCGGGUUCUAAAUAUUUUCCUUAAAGCUAAGUGGCGAAGAUCAAAUGGAGUUGUGUGAUAUGUGUGUUCAUCAAUCGUCAACGAAUUAAUAUAACAAAACCUAAAAACUAUUGUUGUUUCGUGUUUAAUUAUUUACUUUCCGAAAUUUAUGUAGAACAUUCGUUACUGAUGCGUGGAGUUACCAUAUGAUGGAUUGGAUUCCAACAUUAAUAUGAAAUUUAGGGAAGCCAAAUCCUCGUACCAAGGCGGGAAACAAUAGAAAAAUAUAGUGAAAUGAACAAGUCAACGAUGAACUCAUGCAGAUGGAGAAAUAACGAAAUAUGCAGUAGUGAGGUCAAUGAGAUAUUAUUCAAUGUCGCUGGUUUAGGAAAAAAUAGCUAUUGUGAUUCGAGGGAGUUGGUAAGAUAGAUGUUAAAGUCAAACACCAACUCCUUUGUUGUACCGAAAUAAACAACAUUUUCAGAUCGCUCGAUGAUUAUAUUACCUGCAAAACUUUGUUACAUUUAAUGUUUUUGUACAAUA
RNAcentral lists this long non-coding RNA (603 nucleotides) under Brassica napus (rape). Its description in RNAcentral is "long non-coding RNA (BNAP_LNC018024)". The record is from RNAcentral. Lineage: Eukaryota; Viridiplantae; Streptophyta; Magnoliopsida; Brassicales; Brassicaceae.